GAUAAAAUGGCUGAGAAUUAGGCAAUAAAUUGUAAAUUUAUGUACGAAAAAGAAAUUUUCUUUUAUCA
RNAcentral lists this transfer RNA (68 nucleotides) under Cleridae sp. 2 KM-2017. RNAcentral's name for it is "tRNA-Tyr". Lineage: Eukaryota; Metazoa; Arthropoda; Insecta; Coleoptera; Cleridae. The record is from RNAcentral.